AGAACGAACGCUGGCGGCAGGCUUAACACAUGCAAGUCGAACGCUCACCUUCGGGUGGGAGUGGCAGACGGGUGAGUAACGCGUGGGAACGUACCCUUUGGUUCGGAAUAACCCAGGGAAACUUGGGCUAAUACCGGAUAAGCAGGAAACUGGAAAGGUUUACCGCCGAAGGAUCGGCCCGCGUCGGACUAGCUAGUUGGUGGGGUAAAGGCCCACCAAGGCGACGAUCCGUAGCUGGUCUGAGAGGAUGAUCAGCCACACUGGGACUGAGACACGGCCCAGACUCCUACGGGAGGCAGCAGUGGGGAAUAUUGGACAAUGGGCGCAAGCCUGAUCCAGCCAUGCCGCGUGAGUGAAGAAGGCCUUAGGGUUGUAAAGCUCUUUCAGCGGGGAAGAUAAUGACGGUACCGCAGAAGAAGCCCGGCUAACUUCGCGCCAGCAGCCGC
RNAcentral lists this ribosomal RNA (446 nucleotides) under uncultured soil bacterium. RNAcentral describes it as "bacterial SSU rRNA". It matches the Rfam family "Bacterial small subunit ribosomal RNA", at positions 26 to 518 of the family's 1533-position model. The record is from RNAcentral.